UCCGGAGGGGGCUAGCGUUGUUCGGAAUUACUGGGCGUAAAGCGCACGUAGGCGGCUUUGCAAGUCAGAGGUGAAAGCCCGGGGCUCAGCCCCGGAAUUGCCUUUGAGACUGCAUCGCUAGAAUUGUGGAGAGGUAAGUGGAAUUCCGAGUGUAGAGGUGAAAUUCGUAGAUAUUCGGAAGAACACCAGUGGCGAAGGCGACUUACUGGACACAUAUUGACGCUGAGGUGCGAAAGCGUGGGGAGCAAACAGG
Molecule: ribosomal RNA, 253 nt
Filed under: uncultured bacterium
Lineage: Bacteria
Description: partial 16S ribosomal RNA
Rfam family: Bacterial small subunit ribosomal RNA
Source: RNAcentral